RNAcentral lists this unclassified non-coding RNA (281 nucleotides) under uncultured Cortinarius. RNAcentral's name for it is "sequence contains ITS2". The stretch from base 1 to 52 matches the Rfam family "5.8S ribosomal RNA", at positions 103 to 154 of the family's 154-position model. The record is from RNAcentral. Lineage: Eukaryota; Fungi; Basidiomycota; Agaricomycetes; Agaricales; Cortinariaceae.
AACGCACCUUGCGCUCCUUGGUAUUCCGAGGAGCAUGCCUGUUUGAGUGUCAUUAAUAUAUAUAUCAACCCUCUUUUGUUGAGUGGUUUGGAUGUGAGGGUUUGCUGAAUUCUUAAAAGGGUUCAGCUCCCUUGAAAUGCAUUAGCAGAACAACCUGUUCAUUGGUGUGAUAACUAUCUACACUAUUGAAUGCAAUGGCUAGUUCAGCUUUCUAACAGUCCUUGUGGACAAUUUAUCAUUAAUGUGACCUCAAAUCAGGUAGGACUACCCGCUGAACUUAA